AGUGAACGCUGGCGGUAGGCCUAACACAUGCAAGUCGAACGGCAGCACAGUAAGAGCUUGCUCUUACGGGUGGCGAGUGGCGGACGGGUGAGGAAUACAUCGGAAUCUACUUUUUCGUGGGGGAUAAAGUAGGGAAACUUACGCUAAUACCGCAUACGACCUAAGGGUGAAAGCAGGGGAUCUUCGGACCUUGCGCGAUUGAAUGAGCCGAUGUCGGAUUAGCUAGUUGGCGGGGUAAAGGCCCACCAAGGCGACGAUCCGUAGCUGGUCUGAGAGGAUGAUCAGCCACACUGGAACUGAGACACGGUCCAGACUCCUACGGGAGGCAGCAGUGGGGAAUAUUGGACAAUGGGCGCAAGCCUGAUCCAGCCAUACCGCGUGGGUGAAGAAGGCCUUCGGGUUGUAAAGCCCUUUUAUUGGGAAAGAAAAGCAGCAGGUUAAUACCCCGCUGUUCUGACGUUACCCAAAGAAUAAGCACCGGCUAACUUCGUG
This 492-nucleotide ribosomal RNA is filed under the name uncultured bacterium. RNAcentral describes it as "partial 16S ribosomal RNA". It matches the Rfam family "Bacterial small subunit ribosomal RNA", at positions 29 to 507 of the family's 1533-position model. The record is from RNAcentral.